Molecule: transfer RNA, 67 nt
Filed under: Melo melo
Lineage: Eukaryota; Metazoa; Mollusca; Gastropoda; Neogastropoda; Volutidae
Description: tRNA-Trp
Source: RNAcentral
AAGGUUUUAGGUUAAACUAAACCUCAAGCCUUCAAAGCUUAAAAUAAAGAGAUAUCUUUAAACCUUG